Molecule: ribosomal RNA, 880 nt
Filed under: Escherichia coli
Lineage: Bacteria; Pseudomonadati; Pseudomonadota; Gammaproteobacteria; Enterobacterales; Enterobacteriaceae
Description: partial 23S ribosomal RNA
Rfam family: Bacterial large subunit ribosomal RNA
Source: RNAcentral
GGGACACGUGGUAUCCUGUCUGAAUAUGGGGGGACCAUCCUCCAAGGCUAAAUACUCCUGACUGACCGAUAGUGAACCAGUACCGUGAGGGAAAGGCGAAAAGAACCCCGGCGAGGGGAGUGAAAAAGAACCUGAAACCGUGUACGUACAAGCAGUGGGAGCCUCUUAAUGGGGUGACUGCGUACCUUUUGUAUAAUGGGUCAGCGACUUAUAUUCUGUAGCAAGGUUAACCGAAUAGGGGAGCCGAAGGGAAACCGAGUCUUAACUGGGCGUUAAGUUGCAGGGUAUAGACCCGAAACCCGGUGAUCUAGCCAUGGGCAGGUUGAAGGUUGGGUAACACUAACUGGAGGACCGAACCGACUAAUGUUGAAAAAUUAGCGGAUGACUUGUGGCUGGGGGUGAAAGGCCAAUCAAACCGGGAGAUAGCUGGUUCUCCCCGAAAGCUAUUUAGGUAGCGCCUCGUGAAUUCAUCUCCGGGGGUAGAGCACUGUUUCGGCAAGGGGGUCAUCCCGACUUACCAACCCGAUGCAAACUGCGAAUACCGGAGAAUGUUAUCACGGGAGACACACGGCGGGUGCUAACGUCCGUCGUGAAGAGGGAAACAACCCAGACCGCCAGCUAAGGUCCCAAAGUCAUGGUUAAGUGGGAAACGAUGUGGGAAGGCCCAGACAGCCAGGAUGUUGGCUUAGAAGCAGCCAUCAUUUAAAGAAAGCGUAAUAGCUCACUGGUCGAGUCGGCCUGCGCGGAAGAUGUAACGGGGCUAAACCAUGCACCGAAGCUGCGGCAGCGACACUAUGUGUUGUUGGGUAGGGGAGCGUUCUGUAAGCCUGUGAAGGUGGCCUGUGAGGGUUGCUGGAGGUAUCAGAAGUGCGAAUGCUGA